RNAcentral lists this ribosomal RNA (781 nucleotides) under Bacillus subtilis. Its description in RNAcentral is "bacterial SSU rRNA". The record is from RNAcentral. Lineage: Bacteria; Bacillati; Bacillota; Bacilli; Caryophanales; Bacillaceae.
UGCAGUCGAGCGGACAGAUGGGAGCUUGCUCCCUGAUGUUAGCGGCGGACGGGUGAKUAACACGUGGGUAACCUGCCUGUAAGACUGGGAUAACUCCGGGAAACCGGGGCUAAUACCGGAUGGUUGUUUGAACCGCAUGGUUCAAACAUAAAAGGKGGCUUCGGCUACCACUUACAGAUGGACCCGCGGCGCAUUAGCUAGUUGGUGAGGUAAYGGCUCACCAAGGSAACGAUGCGUAGCCGACCUGAGAGGGUGAUCGGCCACACUGGGACUGAGACACGGCCCAGACUCCUACGGGAGGCAGCAGUAGGGAAUCUUCCGCAAUGGACGAAAGUCUGACGGAGCAACGCCGCGUGAGUGAUGAAGGUUUUCGGAUCGUAAAGCUCUGUUGUUAGGGAAGAACAAGUACCGUUCGAAUAGGGCGGUACCUUGACGGUACCUAACCAGAAAGCCACGGCUAACUACGUGCCAGCAGCCGCGGUAAUACGUAGGUGGCAAGCGUUGUCCGGAAUUAUUGGGCGUAAAGGGCUCGCAGGCGGUUUCUUAAGUCUGAUGUGAAAGCCCCCGGCUCAACCGGGGAGGGUCAUUGGAAACUGGGGAACUUGAGUGCAGAAGAGGAGAGUGGAAUUCCACGUGUAGCGGUGAAAUGCGUAGAGAUGUGGAGGAACACCAGUGGCGAAGGCGACUCUCUGGUCUGUAACUGACGCUGAGGAGCGAAAGCGUGGGGGAGCGAACAGGAUUAGAUACCCUGGUAGUCCACGCCGUAAACGAUGAGUGCUAA